GUGCAGGAAUGCUAUUAGAUUUGAGAAGAAACCAUUUGAUGACAAUCUUGUGUGCCGAGAGAUUGCAAUUCUUAUUCAUGCACGUGGCAGAAGAUGCAAAAAAUGGUUAAAGGGGCUGCGACAACUUAAUUACUAUCCGUAGUUCCUAGUUGAUUUGUACUAGCAGUAUAGUUGUUUAGGAAGUGGUAGUUAGUCUAUACUACCACUAAGAACACUCUUAUGUACAUUUGUUGAUAUCAAUAGAAGCCAAUGUUAAACUUAAAAAAAA
RNAcentral lists this long non-coding RNA (268 nucleotides) under Nicotiana benthamiana. RNAcentral's name for it is "long non-coding RNA (NBEN_LNC034415)". The record is from RNAcentral. Lineage: Eukaryota; Viridiplantae; Streptophyta; Magnoliopsida; Solanales; Solanaceae.